AUUGAACGCUGGCGGCAGGCUUAACACAUGCAAGUCGAGCGGGGGAAGGUAGCUUGCUACCGGACCUAGCGGCGGACGGGUGAGUAAUGCUUAGGAAUCUGCCUAUUAGUGGGGGACAACAUCUCGAAAGGGAUGCUAAUACCGCAUCCGUCCUACGGGAGAAAGCAGGGGAUCUUCGUACCUUGCGCUAAUAGAUGAGCCUAAGUCGGAUUAGCUAGUUGGUGGGGUAAAGGCCUACCAAGGCGACGAUCUGUAGCGGGUCUGAGAGGAUGAUCCGCCACACUGGGACUGAGACACGGCCCAGACUCCUACGGGAGGCAGCAGUGGGGAAUAUUGGACAAUGGGGGGAACCCUGAUCCAGCCAUGCCGCGUGUGUGAAGAAGGCCUUAUGGUUGUAAAGCACUUUAAGCGAGGAGGAGGCUACUCUAGUUAAUACCUAGGGAUAGUGGACGUUACUCGCAGAAUAAGCACCGGCUAACUCUGUGCCAGCCGCCGCCGUAA
RNAcentral lists this ribosomal RNA (501 nucleotides) under uncultured bacterium. Its description in RNAcentral is "partial 16S ribosomal RNA". It matches the Rfam family "Bacterial small subunit ribosomal RNA", at positions 30 to 523 of the family's 1533-position model. The record is from RNAcentral.